CCUACGGGUGGCAGCAGUGAUGAAUAUUGGUCAAUGGGCGCGAGCCUGAACCAGCCACGUCGCGUGAGGGAAGACGGCCCUACGGGUUGUAAACCUCUUUUGCCGGGGAUCAACUGGCGCCACGUGUGUCUCCACUGAGAGUACCCGGAGAAAAAGCAUCGGCUAACUCCGUGCCCGCAACCGCGGUAAUACGGAGGAUGCGAGCGUUAUCCGUAAUUAUUGUGUUUAAAGGUUGCGUAGGCGGCGCGUUAAGUCAGUGGUCACAUUGAGGGGCUCAACCCCUUCCCGCCAUUGAAACUGGCGCUCUUGAGUGGAAGAGAAGUAUGCGGAAUGCGUGGUGUAGCGGUGAAAUGCAUAGAUAUCACGCAGAACCCCGAUUGCGAAGGCAGCAUGCCGGCUUCCUACUGACGCUGAAGCACGAAAGCGUGGGGAUCGAACAGGAUUAGAUACCCGAGUAGUC
RNAcentral lists this ribosomal RNA (460 nucleotides) under uncultured bacterium. Its description in RNAcentral is "partial 16S ribosomal RNA". It matches the Rfam family "Bacterial small subunit ribosomal RNA", at positions 338 to 795 of the family's 1533-position model. The record is from RNAcentral.